Carya illinoinensis is the source of this 432-nucleotide long non-coding RNA. RefSeq lists it as uncharacterized. The record is from RefSeq and is a predicted model, not a curated record. The transcript is spliced from 2 exons. Lineage: Eukaryota; Viridiplantae; Streptophyta; Magnoliopsida; Fagales; Juglandaceae.
UCUACCUCUGUUGUACACAGGUUGAGCAGCUUCAAAGGAUCUUCAAACUUUGUGGUUCACCCUCAGAGGAUUACUGGAACAAAAUGAAGCUACCAGCAAGCUUCCAUCCACCGCGGCAUUAUAGGCCUAGUUUUGAAGAAGCCUUCAGCCCCUUACCUACCUCUUCAUUUGGCCUUUUGACUACACUUCUUGCUCUAGACCAACCUCUCGUGGCAGUGCUGCUUCUGCUCUCCAUAGUGAAUUCUUUACUUCAAGCCCAUUGGCCUGCAAUCUUCCAGCUCUACCAAUUCCCAGGAAAAAGAAGAAUCAAUCUAAAACCCGUGAUCAGAUGUAUGAUUUUAGUUUAUAAUGUGAAAUUAUUUUCCUCAAUGAUGUGAUGAAUAACUCUAUGUAACGAUCAUGAUGUCUCCUACCAAAACCUUUAGCAGCUUA